Molecule: long non-coding RNA, 3497 nt
Organism: Pyrus x bretschneideri (Chinese white pear)
Lineage: Eukaryota; Viridiplantae; Streptophyta; Magnoliopsida; Rosales; Rosaceae
Exons: 2
Source: RefSeq, a predicted model, not a curated record
ACUUUAAUAGUUAAGUAUAUGAAGUUAGUAUAAGAUAAAUUUCAAGAUGAGUCAUGUGUAUAGUAAAUUUACAUUUAAGUAUAUAUUUUUUCUUUUGUUGGAAAAGUGUUUUAAGUAUAUAAUUUUUUUUUUUGUUGGAAAAGUGUGACGAUCUUUUUAUAAUUUGUUGUAUUUUUCUCCUUGAAGCUGUAAAAUGACGAAAAUGCUCAUUUUAGGCUAAGUGAAAUCCUACAUAGAUAUUUGAGCUCACUUCAUAUUUUAUCUCCUUUCUUAUCAUCUUGUAGUACUCGUUAUUAUGAACGCUCGAUCGGAACAUGAUUUGAGCUAAACAGAAGGUGGGUCUGUUUCAGAGAAUAUCUGUUUUCUGUUUUAGAAAUAUCUCAUUGUCUUUUAUGUGAGAUAUUUCUAUUUAAAGAAAUAUCACAAUUUGGGAAAUCUUCCCACCUUCACAUCUCUCUCCACCAUCUCAUCUUUCUCUCUCUCAUCUCGGCCUCCCUCUUCUCGCCGCAACUCAAAUAAACGACGUCAUCUCAGACAGAUUGACGCUCAAAACUCCACAUUUUCACUCACCUGGUCACGUCGAACCCAGCCAUGGGUUUGGAUUCGUGAUAAUCUGAACCCAACUGUACAAGCAAAGGCUUCGCCCAGGCCAAACUUCCCGACGAGCUUUUCAUCGUUUUCCCAGCAAAGAUCGCAGAGGAGGAAACCUACUGCAGUUCUAGUAAGUUUUGUAGAGAAACGACAUGGGUUUUCUGACUUGAUCUCGUCAAGUUUAGACAAGAUCGUGACCACCAAACAACUCUCCAAUGUCCCUAGGCUCAGUUUCGUGCAACCCGUUGCAGUUACGAGAUUUCCAAAUUCGGGCCGAAACUUUCCUAGCCUAUUUAAAGGCUUGCCAUUUUUUGGCCAAACCAUGGUAAUGCUUGGAUUCUACACCCUCAAAUUGGCCUAGGUUGUGAAUUUCGUAGUCAUUGGUUGAAUACUUCAAGCUCAUCGCGUGUCUGGAAAAAUUUCGGCAAAUUUCCUAGUUUCCGGCGACACAGGCAGCUGACGAAACGCAGUUGACCAGCUCACCAGAGAAGAUGAAGAAAUAUAUAUUCUGUCAAUUGGGCGAAGUCAGGCAACCAUUACUUUUUCCAUUAACCUUAAAUGAAUAUUCCUUCCGGUCUUGGUAUGCAAGCGCGUGAUCAUGCAUAGCUGAAGCGUGGCGGUUCCCGGCGGCAUGUGGCGGCACGUGAGCCCUGUUUUUAACACUUUCAACUCCACUUUGAGCAAGCAAAAGACAUAAUUUUUCAAGUCUUUCCUUAGUAUUUACAAACUUUGGGUAAUUUAACUAUGAGCAUGUAAUAAUUUCCCAUAUAAGAAAAACUUAGCCCGAAGAGUUUAGAGGCCAAGGAAAGUAAGGCGGCUACGACCUGAUUACAUAUUAGUGAGUGGACUUUGUUUUCAAGCAUAUAUAUAUAUAUAUAUAUAUAUAUAUAUUUUGUAGUUUCCAUAACUGCUUGGAUAAUGUGUUUUUACGUCAUAUCAUGCUUUUACUUAUGAUUAUAAGUAUUAUUUGAGGGUGUUGAUGUGUAUGAAAUUAUUUUGGCAUGAUCACACGUAUAUUUUUAUUUGCUUAUCAUGCAUGCUUAUAUCGGUGUCUAUAGUACGCGUUCGAGCUAGGAUCGGCUAAAGUGUAUGUUCACAUUGCACAAUUAUACUCACUAUGGAUCUAUUGCAGGUGUUAGCAUGUAUUGGUUUGCAUUAGGCAAUUAAGACUCAUAUGUGAUGCGUUUAGCACCAGCUUCAUGUGUAUGUAGUAUUUGAGCGUAAACACCCAACUUGUUCCAUGUAGUUACUUUCUGAAUGGACUUAUGUCUAUACUAUUGUGAUGAGCAUACUAUUUUAUAUAGUUGAGAUGUUGCAGUUUACUGUACAUUUGAAUAUUUGUAUUUACCCAGUAAAUGUGAGAAUUUAAUUUCUUGUAUUUGUGAGAAUAUUCAUCCUAGUCGGGAUGAGAAUAUUCUUCUAUAAUUACCCUCUUAUCUAUGCUCUGACAUUACAUUUAUGUAAUAUGGAUACAUCCCGCACUGCACAUUCUCGUAAAUUAGUUUUAGGUUUCGAUUUUAAUUUAUUCACACUUUUACCCAAAAAUUAUCAUAAUAUGAUUUCGUCACCUUCCAAAUAUUGGCCAGCAAGCCUCGGGUUUAAGUAUCCACCUAAAUAUCCGAUAGGGAUGUGUCAAAAAGUAUAGAGUAUUAAGAAAUAUUUUAUUUUAGAGUUUCAAAUAUAGAGUAUGGUUGAGGUAGGAAACUUUUAGAGUUGGAAUAUUAUGGGGAUAUACCAUUUUAAAAUCAAAUUUUAGAGUUUGAAGUAAGAGUAGAAUUGGAGAUGUUAUAAUGAACCCAACAUUGAGAAAGAAUAAAGGAGCUUCUAAUGGCUUAUAGCACUAAUUACUACUGUUUUAAUAAUAUUAUAAAUAAAAACUUUAUUUUUGUUGGUUCAUGGUCAUUGCAAAUCAUUUUUUUAGUAAAAUAAUAUUCCACACUAAGAAAAAGUGAAGAGUUUAAACUUAGAAUCUGAUCGAAAAGAAAAUUCUUAAUUACAAAGUCAAUCUACCACUUCUGGUCAAUGUGGCUCUUUACGAGUUCCAAUUACAUUUCAUGCAUCAUAAAUAUUGGAAUUAUUGAUAUUUCUUGUUGCGGCCUAAAGUAAUAAGGCACUAAGAACAGCUCCAGCGGAAGCUCCUGCUCGAGGGACCAGCUCCGGAACAGGGCUGGAUUGCCCGAGGGAAGAAGCCCAGCGUUGGCCGGCGAAGGAGCCUGAGCAAGCUCAAGCGCUAGGCUGGUCGAUUUGUGCCGGCCCGAGCGACCGAAGGCAAUCUGACGUGGGCUGACAUUAGGACAACGUCUCCACGCUUUUUGAGGGCCACGGAGGUUGCUGCUGCUGUUCGGGGCAGCCGGGCGCUGGUGAGCCUGAGAUCGCUUCAAGGCGGCCAUGAGAGCAUUAGAGAUGGGGGUCUCCAUGCCUGGACUCAUGUUUUGGGCAGUGGGUAACUGCUUCAGAGCCACACUGAAGCAGAGCUCCAAAGCUCGGCACUGCAAAGGGUGGGAGGAAUUGGGGUGAGAUUUGAUGCAUGCUUGGCGGAGGAAGCCGGUGGGGGAGGACAAAAGGGUUCCGUCGACCCGCUUCGGCAGAGACAAAGGCAGCAGCAGCAAAUGAAAUCAACGACGGAGAUGCAAUGGUUAAGACAAGUUUUGUGAAAAAAUCCUAUUAUUUUAUUGCCUAUUGCCAGGGCUAUUCAAGUGCAACGGUGGAGAUGCAAAAUGUAGUUAUUGUUCAUUAAGGGCAGUUACUAUUCACUAGGUGGAUUAAAUAGUGAAUAGCCUGGGGAAAAGGCUCCCAUGCUGGAGUUGCUCUAACAAGUGGCAAACAAUAUCGUAUUGCAUAUAUGUCAAUUUACUUGUACCAUGUUAUAUUGUGCGUGUUAAUUAAGACUAGAUUUCCUUGCAUAA